Molecule: unclassified non-coding RNA, 265 nt
Filed under: Glomus sp.
Lineage: Eukaryota; Fungi; Glomeromycota; Glomeromycetes; Glomerales; Glomeraceae
Description: partial contains 5.8S ribosomal RNA and internal transcribed spacer 2
Rfam family: 5.8S ribosomal RNA (bases 1-65)
Source: RNAcentral
GUGAAUCAUCGAAUCUUUGAACGCAAAUUGCACUCUCCUCGGAGAGUAUGCCUGUUUGAGGGUCAGCCUAUAAAAAAUCGACAUCGUUGCUGUUUCGCGGUGGCGAUCGUCGGUAAUUGGGUCAUCUUAAAUCUUUUGGUUUUAAGCGACUUAAAAUUUUCUGUUUGGUACCAUGAACGUUUCUAUAAUUUAUUUCUUUAGAAGUUUAAGGUAUCGAUUUUUAUAAGAUGUGACCAUCAUAUCGGAUCUCUCGCAUAAACUUUCA